CUUUAUUUAAUAUGUUUUAACCCAUUUUAGAAUUGUUUUGCAACUCAACGUUAUAAUUUUGCUGCCUUAUUUGUUCAUUUACAAACAUGUUUUUCACCCGUUUUUCUACGUUAGGAAUACCUACAGUACAUAAUUGGUUUAGAAUGAGGCAUUUCAAAUAACUGAUAAUGUGCGGCAUAGCGAAAGGUGAAAUGUUAGGAUGCGCAGGAAAAUUCUAUUAUUGUUUUGCGGUUGCAUUAUGUGUAGAACAAUCGUUAACAACAUGGAUUUAGUGGUAGCUCCAAAGCCAAAUACUGUACCGCACUGGGCGCAUUUAAAUUGUAAGCCGAAUUAAGCAAUUAUUUGGAGGAGCUGAAUUGUCGGAUAUCCUGUAGAAAGGUGACGAUCAAAAGCGUGAACUCAAAUCUGAAGAACAUUCUCCGGAUCACCUGGUGUAUUUUUAAGAUGUUAUUAGCCUUACAUUAUAAUAGUGGUUUAAAUUACAAAUAUAGACAAUUGAAUUGUUAAUCUCAAUUAUUUGUAUGACAAUAAAUCGUCAACUAAAAUGUCAUAAUCGUGACAGCGCUAGAGUUUAGUUUGGACCCAAAACAAGAUUUAUAUUUGCUGUCCCAAUUAUUAUAGAGGGCAAUAAGGGCAAUGUAUUAUUUAACAUAUUUUAAGUAACAGUUUAAGCAAUAAAGACAUUUAUAAAUGUCAGCUACAAAUAAGCUGGUCAGCCAUGGGAACAAUUGCAAACAUAACAUGCAAAUAGAUUAACCUAAAAAAAUCCACACUUUGAUGUGAGCAUGCUGUCUCCCAUAUCAGCAAAGGACCUGCUAAGAUGGGGGUCUUGAAUACAGCUCAGCCACUACCCCCACUGAUGCACCUGUCUUUAAUCAGACCAGGAGUAAGUAAAGUUGGAGGAAAAGUGUUAUGUGUGAUCAAACUGCCUGUGUUACAGAACUGUUUCUGGGACUCAGGGACUACAAAAUACCUAAUAUAAUUAGAAGAGUGCUGAGACCGCCGACGCUUUGACCAUCCACACCAUUAUCUCCAGAAUCGCCACUAUGGGAAGCCCAGGACCAAGCAGUCUCAAUUUCCUCAGCAGUUCUGCAUUUGUUUUCAAGGUUCCAUUUCUGCUUAGUUAAUGAACGCCCUUUAUGGCCCAAACCUGUUUCCCUUCCUGUGUUCUCUCCCCAUGAAAGGAUUGAUCCUUCUAGGAAACCUGUUGUGAUGCUGAGGAAAUUAUUCAAAAUAAUUAGUGAGUGUACACUCUGUCCAUUAUAUAAUUGUUAAAGCUGCUACACAUUAAGACAAUGGAGAAAUUGUAUAAUUCAUGAAAGUUGAUAUUAUAAUAAGUGAUGCACUAUGUUGAAGGCCUUACACAGACCUUUAAAAGGAAUGCAUGUCCUUCUUUUACAGUACAGUUAAUAACUUCCAAAUCAUAGCAGAGGUUGUGUUAUGACCAGGUCUAAAACCCAAUUCAUUUAUAUUUAGAAUAUAAUGAGUUAAUAAGGAUUUGAGUUGAGGAUUCCCAUUGUUUAGGUAGACAGAAGUGUAGAAAUGGGGUUCUAAUGAUUUAUCACUUUUGUGGCGCGGGUGCACAUCGGCCACGUUCCAGACCCUGGGGAAGGUGCCGGAAGAAAUCAUAGGUUUAAUCCUGCAAUGGGACGUACUGUACAGAAAGUUACGACAAGACUGCAGGUUUUUUGGUGGCUGCAGAGCAACCGACAGGAAUAAGAGUGACAUCAACUGCAUCACCAAGAGAGUGGAUGACAUACAUGAGAUGAGUGAAAGGCUACGGUUUAUGGAAAUGAGCAUUACCCAUAAUCACAGUAACCACUUGGGGGCAACGGCCAAACCAGAAGAACUCAUACUGACAAUAGAAGAGACGUUACAGGUACCUUGUGAUAUGUACAAUGGGACUUAAACCUUGAAGAAAAUGGUUGUCUGAUGUUGGAUUCUUCCCCAAGAGAAACAAAGGAGCCAGUUUGCUUAUGUUUCCUUGCACAAAUGGGGCAACCUAGUCUAUCACAAACCGAUAUCCACUGUCUAUCACAUUCAGUAAAGCAAUGGAGUCGACUGAUGUUUGGCAGAGGAGAGGUUGUUAUAAUUAAAACAGAGUGAUUAAAUAUUUUGCAGCAUUGGAUGCAUAUGCUUGACAUCAAUCAUAACUGUGAGCUGAAAAACUCAUUUUCUUAAAGGAAUAAUUAACAGUUAAAAUGGCAAAAAUGUGCAUUGAUGAUUUUACAGAAUGUCCCCAGAUUUUGUGGCUUGUUGGUAUGCUCUACACUGUACAAAGGGUACACUGUACACAAGUUUUUAAACGUGAUCGAAAUGUAUGACUGUGACACACGUGCACACACUACUCAAUAACUAUCAUUAACCUAACCUUUAUGUCUGAACUUAACCUAAUGCUAAACUUAACCGUUGCGUAAACCAAAAUCUAAACCAAACUAUUAAACUAAACCCCAGUUAUCCUCUUUAUUCUCCUCUUUUGUUCAAGAUCUCAUCUUAGCCAUCUCAAAACAAUUAUACAUUUAUACAUUGUAGUGUUUCUUUGGUCAAUUGACACUGUAACUUUUGAUUUGUGAAACCUGUUAAUUUGUUGUAUGGUGGAGUUUGUAUUCAACAAUUUAUACUACACAAUGUGCAUAUGCAUUUCACACACAUUUAUAUUGAUUAUUUCACUUGGGAAAUAUUUCAAAGUCUUAGCUUUUACUUUCACUGUCAUUUAUGUUCCCUUAGGCUUCACUCUUCAAUCUCAACAAGAUUUAACCGUUCUGAUCCAGUUUUAUUAGCCUUUAUUAUGUAAAGCAAUGGGAGCUUUCCAAAUAGCACUCAAUGAUCUUUGAAGCCUUUCAUUCUGUAUUACCUCACUACUAAGGGCUAAAAGCUUCUGCUAUUGUAUGUGUGGACUGUACCACUCAGCCAUGGUGACUUCAAAGGGGCUACUCUCUCCUAUUGUACUGCUUUACAUUGGGUGAAAUGGUAGAACUUUAUAUUAUAUCAGUGUAAUAAAGCAUGCAUGAUGGAUUUGUAAAUAAUUCACUCAUUUU
Long non-coding RNA from Esox lucius (northern pike), 3038 nucleotides. Lineage: Eukaryota; Metazoa; Chordata; Actinopteri; Esociformes; Esocidae. The record is from Ensembl.